This 446-nucleotide ribosomal RNA is filed under the name uncultured bacterium. RNAcentral's name for it is "bacterial SSU rRNA". It matches the Rfam family "Bacterial small subunit ribosomal RNA", at positions 329 to 792 of the family's 1533-position model. The record is from RNAcentral.
UACCAGACUCCUACGGGAGGCAGCAGUGGGGAAUAUUGCACAAUGGGGGAAACCCUGAUGCAGCGACGCCGCGUGAGUGAAGAAGUAUUUCGGUAUGUAAAGCUCUAUCAGCAGGGAAGAAAAAAGACGGUACCUGACUAAGAAGCCCCGGCUAACUACGUGCCAGCAGCCGCGGUAAUACGGAGGAUGCGAGCGUUAUCCGGAUUUAUUGGGUUUAAAGGGUGCGUAGGCGGAAUGCCAAGUCAGCGGUAAACUCGGGGGGCUCAACCGCGCUCCGCCGUUGAAACUGGCGUUCUUGAGUGGGCGAGAAGUAUGCGGAAUGCGUGGUGUAGCGGUGAAAUGCAUAGAUAUCACGCAGAACUCCGAUUGCGAAGGCAGCAUACCGGCGCCCAACUGACGCUGAAGCACGAAAGCGUGGGUAUCGAACAGGAUUAGAUACCCGUGUA